CGCUUGUUUCGUUACUCUUCUCAAAAGGAGAGAGUCACUUAAAUGACAAAACGUAACCUUGACCAGGAGUCAGUUUCAAACACUUGCAGAACAUAAACUUUCAGAACAAAGAAGAAGAUCACCAACACUGCCAUAAAGGUUGCCUUCAAAGCGAAUAUGGACCCAACACUAUUCAUUAGUUCUGUUAUUAGCUGCUUUGGGCCUUACACUACGGUCACUCUAAAUGAUGGCAAUGGAUACAACCCUUCCUUAGGUUUCUUCCCUGCACCACAUGAUGGAGUUUAUGUCUUCUCCUGCACGGUCUACUCGUUUGUGGAACUGAACCAACGACAAAGUUUUCUCAUAGGUCCAGAUGAUGAAGAAUGGGGAGGUGAUGACAAGCAUUUUGGAGGACAAUCGAGAGGAGGGACAAGACAGUGGU
Molecule: long non-coding RNA, 421 nt
Organism: Phyllopteryx taeniolatus (common seadragon)
Lineage: Eukaryota; Metazoa; Chordata; Actinopteri; Syngnathiformes; Syngnathidae
Exons: 3
Source: RefSeq, a predicted model, not a curated record